AAAUUGAAGAGUUUGAUCAUGGCUCAGAUUGAACGCUGGCGGCAGGCCUAACACAUGCAAGUCGAACGGUAACAGGAAGCAGCUUGCUGCUUUGCUGACGAGUGGCGGACGGGUGAGUAAUGUCUGGGAAACUGCCUGAUGGAGGGGGAUAACUACUGGAAACGGUAGCUAAUACCGCAUAACGUCGCAAGACCAAAGAGGGGGACCUUCGGGCCUCUUGCCAUCGGAUGUGCCCAGAUGGGAUUAGCUAGUAGGUGGGGUAACGGCUCACCUAGGCGACGAUCCCUAGCUGGUCUGAGAGGAUGACCAGCCACACUGGAACUGAGACACGGUCCAGACUCCUACGGGAGGCAGCAGUGGGGAAUAUUGCACAAUGGGCGCAAGCCUGAUGCAGCCAUGCCGCGUGUAUGAAGAAGGCCUUCGGGUUGUAAAGUACUUUCAGCGGGGAGGAAGGUGUUGAGGUUAAUAACCUCAGCAAUUGACGUUACCCGCAGAAGAAGCACCGGCUAACUCCGUGCCAGCAGCCGCGGUAAUACGGAGGGUGCAAGCGUUAAUCGGAAUUACUGGGCGUAAAGCGCACGCAGGCGGUCUGUCAAGUCGGAUGUGAAAUCCCCGGGCUCAACCUGGGAACUGCAUUCGAAACUGGCAGGCUAGAGUCUUGUAGAGGGGGGUAGAAUUCCAGGUGUAGCGGUGAAAUGCGUAGAGAUCUGGAGGAAUACCGGUGGCGAAGGCGGCCCCCUGGACAAAGACUGACGCUCAGGUGCGAAAGCG
RNAcentral lists this ribosomal RNA (771 nucleotides) under Enterobacter hormaechei. RNAcentral's name for it is "bacterial SSU rRNA". It matches the Rfam family "Bacterial small subunit ribosomal RNA", at positions 1 to 761 of the family's 1533-position model. The record is from RNAcentral. Lineage: Bacteria; Pseudomonadati; Pseudomonadota; Gammaproteobacteria; Enterobacterales; Enterobacteriaceae.